RNAcentral lists this ribosomal RNA (439 nucleotides) under uncultured bacterium. RNAcentral describes it as "partial 16S ribosomal RNA". It matches the Rfam family "Bacterial small subunit ribosomal RNA", at positions 338 to 795 of the family's 1533-position model. The record is from RNAcentral.
CCUACGGGGUGCAGCAGUGGGGGAUAUUGCACAAUGGGGGAAACCCUGAUGCAGCGAUGCCGCGUGAAUGAAGACGGCCUUCGGGUUGUAAAGUUCUGUCGCAGGGGACGAAAAUGACGGUACCCUGCAAGAAAGCUCCGGCUAACUACGUGCCAGCAGCCGCGGUAAUACGUAGGGAGCAAGCGUUGUCCGGAAUUACUGGGUGUAAAGGGAGCGUAGGCGGGAGGAUAAGUUGAAUGUGAAAUCUAUGGGCUCAACAAAUAGUUGUGUUCAAAAAUGUUUUUCUUGAGUGAAGUAGAGGCAGGCGGAAUGCCUAGUUGAGGGGUGAAAUGUGUAGAUAUUAGGAGGAACCCAAGGGGCGAAGGCGGCCUGGUGGGUUUUAACUGACGCGGAGGCUCGAAAGCGGGGGGAGAAAACAGGAUUAGAGACCCGAGUAGUC